Long non-coding RNA from Macrobrachium nipponense, 1817 nucleotides. RefSeq lists it as uncharacterized. The record is from RefSeq and is a predicted model, not a curated record. Lineage: Eukaryota; Metazoa; Arthropoda; Malacostraca; Decapoda; Palaemonidae. The transcript has 4 exons.
CAGAUACGGAGCUAAUUCUGGUCAGGUUGAUCUUGUGGUUUGAAGGUGGUGACUUUUCUAGCCUCUGCAUACGCUAAGUUUCAUCACGGAUCAGGAGAUGCUGAUGGUCCAUGGUUGUUUUUUUUUCAGGAUAAGGAGAUCGCUGAUGGUCCGUGAAGAUUUUCGUGAAACUCAAAUUUGUGAAGUAAUCGACCUUCGAGAGCAACUGAAGGCAAAAUUCUCAAGCCAGGAUGACUUUUAAAGCUACUCAAGAUUAAACCGAUCUUCGCAGCGCUUCAACCAAUCAAACUUUUAUUUUUUCCUCCACCCCUACAGGGGCGGUGCCCCUGUACGGGUGGAGGCCCCCUCCUAUGCCCUGUUCCAUAGGUCCUAGGACCUAUGGACAGGUGCGUGGGAGGGGUGUAAACUAAUUAAAUUCUAACCUCUAGAGCAUGUUAAUGGACAAAGUAAGAAACUUAAUGAUGCUUCCGCUGUCCAUGAACUCUUAGUUUAUGAAGAAGUGUGAAUCGAACUUGGCAUUACUCAUGUACUUCACUUAAUACUAUGGGUUCUCUUGCACUGAUGGUUCGAUGGUAUAAAUAAUAGUUUGACAUGUCAGAAAAGUUGUCAACGAUGCACAUGUAAAUAUGAACUUCCUACUUUCACCAAUUUUUAGAGUUGCGAACUGGUAAGUUUUCGUUUUAUAUAAAUAACUGAAUAAGUAUCUUAAGAAAGUUUAACUAAACCUGGUAAAACAUUUAAGCUCUAUGAAUUUGAAAUUUACUUGUAAAACCAUUUCGAAACCAAAGGUCAAACCAUAUAAAACCUCACUUAGUAAUAUUUUAGUUUUUUAAAUGACAAUAACAUAACUUUUGGUAUGGUUUAGAAAUUGUGAAUGCUUAUGGGAUUGAAAAUAUUGAUUUUUGUAAUUAUAAAUUGACAGAUUUAGUCUGCUAAUUAGGUUGUGUGGUAUGUGUGUGCGUGUUAAAACAAAUUAGCUACUCUUCCUCUUGUUGAAAAUCUGUUGCGUGGAAUGGAAGCCAAUGAAGGAGUCUUCUGAAUUUGUCAAUCUUAAUAUUGGCGCCCUUGUAAAUAUACUAUGUUCCCUUGGAGAUUAAAAUGCUGGGUACUUGUCAAUGAAUUAUCGACAUAUUCUUAAUCUAUUUUCCUCAACUGAGCCGAUUAAUGCAUAUGGUUAUAAUCUUAGUCAGAAUCGCAAAAUCUAUAAUGGCUUAAGAUAAAGGUGGUGAAAGUUAUCCUUCAAAGGAUUCUGUAAGUGGUAACGAUGUCAACAAGUGAACUGAAGACUGUUUACUGAGCAUGUAUGAAGCCUUAAUGUCGAAUUAUCUGAGUUUACCUUGUGUAUCUUAAAUGGUAAUCUCACUCCAUAUUGAAAAGAUUCCUGUAGACUGUUAUGGUUUGAUAUACUAAUAAAUGAGAUUGAUAGCAUAGAUGGUUGGGCAUUGGAGACAAUGUAUUGAAAUUGGUUUAUGGACAAACUGAGGUAAAGCUUUUAAUCUACCCCUUAAGUCUUUUACAUGGAGUUAUUUGUAGAUUACCAUGGAUUAUGAAAAUGCCAGAAGUAAAGUAAAAGCAAAUAGCAGAUUAUGCAUAUUACUUGGAUAUGGGUAUAAAGAUAUAAUAAAAAUGGAGCGAUUAUGUACUGUUUAAGGAGUUGGAUGGAAAAGUGUAAUAGAUAUAAGUGAAGAAAAUAUAUGUAAGGCGAAAUAAAAAUAUAGAUAUCUAAAAAAUUUAAAAAGCAACCUAAAACAGGACAGUUCAGAUACUUAGUAAAUAAAGUAAAGAACAAGGAAUAAAAUAUUGUAAAGGCUACCUGA